RNAcentral lists this transfer RNA (75 nucleotides) under Microcaldota archaeon. RNAcentral describes it as "Candidatus Micrarchaeota archaeon (hot springs metagenome) tRNA-Lys". It matches the Rfam family "tRNA". Rfam says of the family: Transfer RNA (tRNA) molecules are approximately 80 nucleotides in length. The record is from RNAcentral. RNAcentral also lists the same sequence under 1 other name. Lineage: Archaea; Nanobdellati; Microcaldota.
GGGCCCGUAACUCAGCUUGGCCAGAGUACCUGGCUUUUAACCAGGGAGUCGCGGGUUCAAAUCCCGCCGGGCCCG